AGAGCCUACUAUAUUAUAAAACUUAAUGAAGACAAAUUUAGAUAUGACAGCUUUUCCUAUUUUAUAUAGAAAAUAGUAUUCACAAAAUUUAAUUGGGUAGGCUAGAUGUCUUAUUUAAGGUCAUCUUAAUGCUGGCUAACAAUAGUUUUAUUCGAUUUUGUUUCUAAAUUCAAAGAAAAGAAGGUUUGGUUGUUUCAAGAAUAGGCAAAAGCCAAAGUGGAGAAAACAAGCCCAUUAAACAGCUGACUGCUUAAUUACUACAUAAUCUAGAACAACUGAAUCAAAAUAGUUAUGAUCAUAGCCAACCUAAUCAGUGGGAAGGAGGAAGUAUGAAGUAUGGUUGCCAAAAACAAACUUUUUUUCCUAAUCAGAAUAAAAACACCAAAGAGGUAACAUGUGCUUUUAUUAUAACUAUUCAAUUCCACACUACUUUUACAACUCUUAGCAGACAGAGUAAAGAAAAGCUAAUUGUGAAGGGAAAAGAGGUUAGAAGAAAGGCCAAAAAAUAAAGUGGUUUUCAGUUACUGAUAAAUCUUUACUACUGAAGAACCAUACUCAGCUGUCAUGUUAUAACAAUACACAGAGGUGUGCAGAUGCGAAUGCUAUGGAAUUCCAACCAGAGACACACACUCCCUUUCAUCUCUGCUUCCCGGUUGCUGAGUAAACUUUGUUCAUAGUCUUAACCUUCCAUUUUCUUUUUCUUUUUUAAAUAUGGAACACUUCACGAAUUUGCGUGUCAUCCUUGUGCAGGGGCCAUGCUAAUCUUCUCUGUAUCAUUGCAAUUUUAGUACAUGUGCUGCCAAAGUGAGCACUAACUCCCAUUUUCUAUGUACUUCUAA
Long non-coding RNA from Phyllostomus discolor (pale spear-nosed bat), 839 nucleotides. RefSeq lists it as uncharacterized. The transcript has 3 exons. Lineage: Eukaryota; Metazoa; Chordata; Mammalia; Chiroptera; Phyllostomidae. The record is from RefSeq and is a predicted model, not a curated record.